Molecule: ribosomal RNA, 253 nt
Filed under: uncultured bacterium
Lineage: Bacteria
Description: partial 16S ribosomal RNA
Rfam family: Bacterial small subunit ribosomal RNA
Source: RNAcentral
UACGUAGGGGGCAAGCGUUAUCCGGAUUCACUGGGUGUAAAGGGGGCGCAGACGGCGAUGCAGGCCAGGAGUGAAAGCCCGGGGCCCAACCCCGGGACUGCUCUUGGAACUGCGUGGCUGGAGUGCAGGAGGGGCAGGCGGAAUUCCUGGUGUAGCGGUGAAAUGCGUAGAUAUCAGGAGGAACACCGGUGGCGAAGGCGGCCUGCUGGACUGCAACUGACGUUGAGGCCCGAAAGCGUGGGGAGCAAACAGG